This is a non-coding RNA of Artibeus jamaicensis (Jamaican fruit-eating bat), 137 nucleotides long. RefSeq annotates it as small Cajal body-specific RNA 11. The transcript has a single exon. The record is from RefSeq and is a predicted model, not a curated record. Lineage: Eukaryota; Metazoa; Chordata; Mammalia; Chiroptera; Phyllostomidae.
UUGUCCCGGCCCACGCUUUCCUCAUGCCCCGGUGCUCGGCUGCAGCGGGGAGGGCUGGCAGGACGCACGGUCUCCCUCUCAGCCUAGAAGGGCCACCCUGAGUACAGGGCUGGCUCUUAAAGGCACAAGAGGACAAU